RNAcentral lists this long non-coding RNA (1159 nucleotides) under Phoenix dactylifera (date palm). RNAcentral's name for it is "long non-coding RNA (PDAC_LNC015068)". The record is from RNAcentral. Lineage: Eukaryota; Viridiplantae; Streptophyta; Magnoliopsida; Arecales; Arecaceae.
ACCGAAUCCAAAUAAAUGAUGCUUUCUCAAAUGGUGUACUGUUGUUCAUAUUAAUAAAAUUCAUUAUUUUAGUUUGUUGUCUUUAUCAUAUUGGAAGGAUUAUAAAUUUUCAGCCAGCUUAACUGGAGGUAGUUUAAGGGUUCAUAGGUGUAAUUCAUGAAUGUAAUUAUCAGUUUCACAAAAAUCCUAGGAAACAAUUUUCUCAUGUUUAACAGAGAACCUUUAAUAUGAAUUUAUGUUUCUCACAAAUCAGGUGAAGGUUUCCCACAAUAUUGGAUUCACCAUUUAUCAUGGUCCACCAUAUUUCACUUUAUUUUCGUCUUGUUACUUUUCUUUUUCUUUUCUUUAGGGGUUAGGGUGGGGAGAUAUUGCAUAUGUACUCUUCACUAAAAAUCAGACAAAAAUAAAUCAUAUACAACCUUUAAGUAACAUCAAAUUUUCUGGUAAUACGGAUAUUGCUACCAAAAGUGUAAAAUGACACCAAUAUGGAAUGUUUUUUUUGUGAGGUUCAUUGUCUCAGUACUGGACCUCAUACCGGUACCAUCUUAUUGCAGUAUCGAUACGUGGUAUGGUAUGGUAAGAUUUGGCAUACUGAGUGCCGGUAUGGUACGGUACUACAUACCGGUUCAAUACCAGUAUGGUAUGGUAUGCCCAGUAUGGUACGGUACCGACCAGUAUAGCAAACCUUAGUUUAUUAUUUUAGUACAUAUUAUGCACUAGUGGGAUGAGAGGAACAACUGACUGAAAACCUCUGUAUGGAACUAGCUAUCAAACAACAAGACAAAGCCAGUAAUAAGAACAACAGUGUAAAAAAAUUAGAAUGUCAUACUUAUACACCACAGGAUAUUAGUAUAAUCAUAUCACCAAGAUUAUCAUAAAAGAGAACAUGCAGAAAUCUAAGUUAUAUAUGUGGGAGGUUAUAAUAACAAUUCUGAGUUCAUAUCAGUUACUCUAUUAUUUUCAGCUGGCUCAGGCACAUCUAUAACAGUGGUUGCUGGAGAUAAAUCUGUCUGCUGCCAUACAUAACUCUGAGUCAGUCAUCCAUAACUUUGAAUCAAUAUAAUUUACUCUUCAGAACUUACUGCUUUAGAUGGGUAAUAUAUAAUUUACCUGGAGUACUUGAUCUAAUUUAUUGUUCCCAGUGUCAUCAUGGUACUGA